RNAcentral lists this unclassified non-coding RNA (376 nucleotides) under uncultured Actinomycetes bacterium. RNAcentral describes it as "uncultured actinobacterium contains 16S-23S intergenic spacer region". The record is from RNAcentral. Lineage: Bacteria; Bacillati; Actinomycetota; Actinomycetes.
UCCGAGUUGUCCCCGGCAGUCCUCUUAGAGUCCCCGGCAUUACCCGCUGGCAACUAAAAGCAGGGGUUGCGCUCGUUGCGGCACUUAAGCCAACACCUCACGGCACGAGCUGACGACAGCCAUGCAGCACCUGUGCUAGCCCCAAAAGGACACGGGCUUUCACCCGCUUUAACUAGCAUGUCAAGCCUAGGUAAGGUUCUUCGCGUUGCAUCGAAUUAAGCCACAUGCUCCGCCGCUUGUGCGGGUCCCCGUCAAUUCCUUUGAGUUUUAAUCUUGCGGCCGUACUCCCCAGGCGGCGGACUUACCGCGUUGGCUGCGGCACCGGGGGGGUCGAUACCCCCGACACCUAGUCCGCAUCGUUUACGGCGUGGACUAC